Phyllostomus discolor (pale spear-nosed bat) is the source of this 133-nucleotide non-coding RNA. The record is from RefSeq and is a predicted model, not a curated record. Lineage: Eukaryota; Metazoa; Chordata; Mammalia; Chiroptera; Phyllostomidae.
GGGACCGUCCCGGCACCGAUUCCUUUGUUGGCGUCCGGUGCCGCCGUGGGCAAUCGCACACGUCGCAUCGUGCAGUCCCUGCCAACGGGCCCUGUAGAGCUACCGGAUUUUCUGUGCGAUGGCUCCCCACGUG